AGUGAACGCUGGCGGUAGGCCUAACACAUGCAAGUCGAACGGCAGCACAGUAAGAGCUUGCUCUUACGGGUGGCGAGUGGCGGACGGGUGAGGAAUACAUCGGAAUCUACUUUUUCGUGGGGGAUAACGUAGGGAAACUUACGCUAAUACCGCAUACGACCUACGGGUGAAAGCAGGGGAUCUUCGGACCUUGCGCGAUUGAAUGAGCCGAUGUCGGAUUAGCUAGUUGGCGGGGUAAAGGCCCACCAAGGCGACGAUCCGUAGCUGGUCUGAGAGGAUGAUCGGCCACACUGGAACUGAGACACGGUCCAGACGCCUACGGGAGGCAGCAGUAGGGAAUAUUGGGCAAUGGGCGCAAGCCUGAUCCAGCCAUACCGCGUGGGUGAAGAAGGCCUUCGGGUUGUAAAACCCUUUUGUUGGGAAAGAAAAGCAGCAGGUUAAUACCCCGCUGUUCUGACGGUACCCAAAGAAUAAGCACCGGCUAACUUCGUG
RNAcentral lists this ribosomal RNA (492 nucleotides) under uncultured bacterium. Its description in RNAcentral is "partial 16S ribosomal RNA". It matches the Rfam family "Bacterial small subunit ribosomal RNA", at positions 29 to 507 of the family's 1533-position model. The record is from RNAcentral.